RNAcentral lists this non-coding RNA (72 nucleotides) under Platyophrya macrostoma. The record is from RNAcentral. Lineage: Eukaryota; Ciliophora; Colpodea; Cyrtolophosidida; Platyophryidae.
UCUCUUUUUUUUUUUUUUUUUUGUUCUUUUUGCCACAGCAAUUGGCUGUGCAAUUGUAGCCAAGAACCACAA